This 125-nucleotide small RNA is filed under the name Marmota monax (woodchuck). The record is from RNAcentral. Lineage: Eukaryota; Metazoa; Chordata; Mammalia; Rodentia; Sciuridae.
GCCAGGCGUAGUGGUGCAUGCCUGUAAUCCCAGCUGCUUGGGAGGCUGAGAGAGGAGGAUUGAGAGUGUCAAACCAGCCUCAGCAACAGUGAGGCACUAAGCAACUCAGUGAGAUCCUGUCUCUA